GUGAAUCAUCGAAUUUUUGAACGCAAAUUGCGCCUUUUGCGGAUGGCAUGUCGGUUUGAUGGCUCCAUGUAACAAAUAAUGUGCAGCGUUGUGUGGAUAUAGUACGUGCACACGUUUGUGAGCUUUUCAAGAAUUUUAAAUUGUUGGUGGCGCAUAAUGAACAGCGUGAAAGUUUUUUUCAGUUCGAGUGUAUUUAAAUCUUUGCUUGGGUUGUGAAAAAACAUAAUCGCGCAAUGGGUGUGGCAAUUUCUUUUUAUCACUGCCCCAAUGCCAGUCUUUCUCACGAUAGAACUUCUAAU
RNAcentral lists this unclassified non-coding RNA (299 nucleotides) under Paraglomerales sp. Its description in RNAcentral is "partial internal transcribed spacer 2". Lineage: Eukaryota; Fungi; Glomeromycota; Glomeromycetes; Paraglomerales. The record is from RNAcentral.